Microcebus murinus (gray mouse lemur) is the source of this 96-nucleotide unclassified non-coding RNA. It matches the Rfam family "Y RNA". Rfam says of the family: Y RNAs are components of the Ro ribonucleoprotein particle (Ro RNP), in association with Ro60 and La proteins. The Y RNAs and Ro60 and La proteins are well conserved, but the function of the Ro RNP is not known. The record is from Ensembl. NCBI's taxonomy places the organism in Eukaryota, Metazoa, Chordata, Mammalia, Primates, Cheirogaleidae.
GGCUGGUCCAGUGGUAAUGGGUUAUCAGAACUUAUUAACAUUAGUGUCAUCAAAGCUGGUAUUCAACCCUCCACUGCUAAAUUUGACUGGCUUUAA